RNAcentral lists this ribosomal RNA (254 nucleotides) under uncultured bacterium. Its description in RNAcentral is "partial 16S ribosomal RNA". It matches the Rfam family "Bacterial small subunit ribosomal RNA", at positions 524 to 776 of the family's 1533-position model. The record is from RNAcentral.
UACGUAGGGUGCAAGCGUUAAUCGGAAUUACUGGGCGUAAAGCGUGCGCAGGCGGUUUUGUAAGUCUGACGUGAAAUCCCCGGGCUCAACCUGGGAAUUGCGUUGGAGACUGCAAGGCUAGAAUCUGGCAGAGGGGGGUAGAAUUCCACGUGUAGCAGUGAAAUGCGUAGAGAUGUGGAGGAACACCGAUGGCGAAGGCAGCCCCCUGGGUCAAGAUUGACGCUCAUGCACGAAAGGCGUGGGGAGCAAACAGG